CCUACGGGUGGCAGCAGUGAGGAAUAUUGGUCAAUGGACGAGAGUCUGAACCAGCCAAGUAGCGUGAAGGAUGACGGCCCUAUGGGUUGUAAAUUUCUUUUAUAUGGGAAUAAAACAGUGUUUGCAUAACCUAUUGUAUGUACCAUAUGAAUAAGGAUCGGCUAACUCAGUGCCAGCAGCCGAGGUUAUACGGAGGAUCCGAGCGUUAUCAGGAUUUAUUUGGCUUAAAGGUAGCGUAGGUGGAUUGUUAAGUCAGUUGUGAAAGUUUGCGGAUCAACCUUAAAAUUGCAGUUAAAACUGGCAGUCUAGAGUACAGUAGAGGUGGGCGGAAUUCGUGGUGUAGUGGUGAAAUGCUUAGAUAUCACGAAGAACUCCGAUUGCGAAGGCAGCUCACUGGACUUCAACUGACACUGAUGCUCGAAAGUGUGGGUAUCAAACAGGAUUAGAUACCCGUGUAGUC
This 460-nucleotide ribosomal RNA is filed under the name uncultured bacterium. RNAcentral's name for it is "partial 16S ribosomal RNA". It matches the Rfam family "Bacterial small subunit ribosomal RNA", at positions 338 to 795 of the family's 1533-position model. The record is from RNAcentral.